This 527-nucleotide long non-coding RNA is filed under the name Physcomitrium patens. RNAcentral's name for it is "long non-coding RNA (PPAT_LNC006663)". The record is from RNAcentral. Lineage: Eukaryota; Viridiplantae; Streptophyta; Bryopsida; Funariales; Funariaceae.
GGUUAAGGACAAAUCUAUGCCAAUUUUUAGUCUUAAUCCUAAUUUUAAUCUCAUCUUGAUUUUUAACUUUUAUUGUGAAUCUUGUGGAUAUAUGUGCAUGGCUUAUCAGUAGUGAAUGAUGGUCAUUAGGUUUUAAAACAUACUUUAUUGUGGUAGAUAGCUCCGUCGGCCUCCCAAAUACACCAAGAGUUUCAAGAGCUGUAGAUUUUCCUCAAUCAAUCAUUUUAAUUAUGUAGUUUCAAUGUGAUUUUUUUUACAAUUUUAGCUUUUGGUGUUAUCUUCUCAACAAAGUAUUUUUGCUUAAUUCAAAGUAAGGACAAUUUUUUGGUGAAGUUUUAAGUGUGAAGGGAGUUGAUUGCUCGGCAGUUGAGAUCACCCAACUUUGACAAGGAAUUUCUCAGUGCCUUAGAAUUGGGUUACUGUAUAAUUUUAGAAAAUAAGUGUAACUUCAAGCUGAGCUUUUGGUGGCAUAGUUUUUAACAAAUUUAAAGACGAAUUGAUUUUUUAAAGAAUUUCCAAGUGGAGGG